RNAcentral lists this ribosomal RNA (167 nucleotides) under uncultured bacterium. RNAcentral's name for it is "partial 16S rRNA". It matches the Rfam family "Bacterial small subunit ribosomal RNA", at positions 355 to 511 of the family's 1533-position model. The record is from RNAcentral.
UAGGGAAUCUUCGGCAAUGGACGAAAAGUCUGACCGAGCAACGCCGCGUGAGUGAAGAAGGUUUUCGGGAUCGUAAAACUCUGUUGGUAGAGAAGAACGUUGGUGAGAGUGGAAAGCUCAUCAAGUGACGGUAACUACCCAGAAAGGGACGGCUAACUACGUGCCAG